CCUCUGAACUUCCAAGUCAAUGCAAUUUUUAACCACUGGCUUGUGGUACUUUGAAAAUCACCAGGGGCUGUCAGAGUUGGGUCCUCUGAAAAAUUUACAGUGCUAAAUCAGAGCAUAUGCUGUGAGAGAGGGGAAAAAAAUUGCUUAAGAUUGGAGCAAGUACAGUAUCUGUCUGCCCCCUAGUGUAAGUCUCUUAUCUGCCUAAAAUUCAACUUUAAAAGAAAAGGAUCUCUUAAAGGGAAACGACUUUUGGCUCACGUAUGCAUACGAGAAUGAAACUUCUGUGCAUUUUAAUCUGAUUAAUUCCUAAGGAUUUAAAAUUAAUUGGCUUGGACACUCCUAGACGGACAGUUAGAUUUCUGCAUCAGAGUUUCUCCAAGCAGUGUGUUGAAUAGGUAUUUUUAAGCGGGGGGGGGGGGGACGACUGGUUUGUGAUUUUUUUUUAAAUGAGAAGCCAUGCCUCUCAUGCUUUUGUCAGAACAGAGCAGUUUUGCUGCUUAAAGUCAGAUCUGCACCUUUUGCAAUAAAGAAGGAUAAAUAUUUGCCUUAAAGCUGCAGACCAGCUGCCAACUGCACCUUCCGAUGUAUGAAGAUAGAAAUAUGUUACCUACUGGGGCAGGUGGCAACAUUUUUGCUGUGAAGCCCUGGGAAAUAAUACACAUAAAAGAAUUUCAGAAAUGAAAGCUGUCUCUGCCAUCUUUUGUUUAAUUAACACAGGCAGUAAGGUACAAGUUCUUGUUGCCCAAUCCCCACCUUCAGCCAAGGGACAGGUAUGAGUAAUCCAUUGAAGGAAGAAAAUUAAAGACUAGAAGGUAAGCAAGGACUGAAGUAAAAUAGGCAUAUUCACGUGACAGGAACUGAUUCAUUUUUAUACCAAAAGAAGGUUUCCGAUGGGAGUUCUCACUGGCUUGGAAUUAUCGCAAUGGCCGAGGCUUGAUUCACUGCAAAGACAAGUACAUAAUUUAUUCACUGUUUAGUAUUAUUAUUAUUUCACUAUGGGAUCAAGUAGGAAAAAAAAGUUGGGUUCUCAAGGAGAAAGCCCCAGAUUUAGACACAAUUAGAGCAAGAGUAAAAUUUCAGGGCAAGUGGAUUCAGGUUCAAGUUGGAUUUUCCCCAGUGCAAAAGUUUAUCUUUAAUCCCCAGCCCAGUUACAAAGCUUUACUUGACCAUUUCUUGUUCUAUUCAGUAAAACGUAUAUUGUUACCAUAGCAACAGCUGCAUCAUUUAUACAUCAAAUUAUUUUAUCAGUUUGGCCCCUUGAGAUAUAGCAUUUCACUUGUAAGGGAUCCUAUAAUACACAUUAGUUAUGCUACCUCUUCCUUCUGAUGGGCUGAGUAAUUUUUUACGCUAUUCAUAUUUUACAGUGCAUUGAAACAUUUCCUUGCAUUUUAUUUGAAUAUCUUAGGAUGUUGCAAGGCAAUAAUACAAAGAUGCAAAAAUAGUUCUUGGCAUGUAAUAUGGACACGACUUACAUGCAUUGCAAUCUUUCCUUCGGCAGCUGUCAUUCCAGUCUAGAUUGUGAGAGCCUCCCUCACCGCAGUCUCAGACCUUUGCUGGCCCAUCAAAAUCAAGAAGCAAAAAAUGGCAUAACUAAUGUGUACUAUAGAAAUCAAUGGAACUGCUUGGGAGCACAAUUCUACUCAAUGUGAGUUAAGGUUGCACAAUUUAGGCCUCUAGUAAGUGUUACUACUAUUGCUACUUUGAACAAACUUUAUUAAGUAGUUUUGACUUAUUUAAAUGCAUUCUUUGAAAUGGCAAUACUAUUAAUAUAAUUCUUUCUUUCUUUGACUAUGUGAUUUGUCCUAUCCUAGGUAUCAUGAAGGGUUACUCUUGUCCCAGCUAGCAUUCAUUCAGAUACUCAGCUAAAUCUUCCAAUGGAGAUCCUCAGAUUUCACUUUAUGUGUCUGCAGGUAAUACACGGAGGGCUUCCGAGAUAAUGACAAGGUUGUAUGUAGGUAGAGAUAGCAACAAAGCUAGAUUUAUGCAUCAAGACUCAAAGCCUUUCUAACUUCUGGAUGGUUUGAUGCAUUCACUGAAGUCUGGCCAACAUGACCUGAGGGUAUUUGCAUUGUUGAGAAGCUUCCAAACAUUCUGCUUCCCUUUCUUCCUCUCUGUUUUCAACAAGUCCUGGAACUAUCUUUGAAGACAUUUAAGGUAAGAAAGGGAGCAUUAAUUUUUGUUGUGGGCAAGUAGUUAAUUUAUUUAGUUAUAUCUAGGAUCUAGUAGCACUGGAGCACAAAACACAGUAAUGUUGCAAAGAGAUUUCUGUAGGAACUCUGCCUCUUCCUCAGGAAGCUUUGCCCCUGUCUCUUUCUCUUUUUCUUUCAUUUUUGCUGUUCUCAUUCCUUGUCUUUGGUUAUUGCUACAAAGCUUUUGUAAAACCUGAGUAUGGUGAAUGGUUUGUUUGGAUUCAGUCCUAUCCCUUCCAGUACUUUUGUUCCACAGUUGAGGACACAGAAACCAAGAAUGCCUUAGCUCUGGCUCCUGUGAGUUUUGUCUAGCCGCCUGCAGGUGCAUCGUCCCAGAGAAACACAGCUGUUGCUAGAGGACACUCUCUGAUGUAGCUGGGCCUCAGCCCAUUUAUGUCAUAUGAUAUUGUUUCUCUGUCUUUUCCUGCUCAGAAGGAAAGCUGCUGCAUUCUGGAGAAGUGAGUUUAGUAACUUUCAUCUUCAACUCUGGAUACUGAGAACUGCUAAGGCCCAGCCUAAAAAUGAUGGACACACAGAUCAUUGUGGCCAGAUCCUCAUCUAAGAAGACUGGAGUUCAGGUUUGCUUUGUGGAGACCAGAGAAGAAGUAACCAAAAGAAAGGAAAAGAAACACUGGAGAAUAAAAGUACAUUUGAAAUGGAAGAAAUCUACAUUUCAAUGAAAAUACUUUUAAGCCAUUUCAGAUGACUGAGUGAAAUAAUUACAAAGUUUGGAAAUAGAGAACAGUAGCUUUGAUAUCUUUUUCUUCUGUGAAGCAAUUAAAAUAAGCAAUUUUUCAGAUACUAAGCAGAAAAUUGCUAAUGGCUGAACCCAAAAGCUUUCAUUUCGUUCUUGGGGUCUUUUUUCUUCUAAAAAAAGACCAAAAUAUAUUAAGGUGGUUUUCUAGAUAGAUAAAUGCAUAAAGCAGUUGUUAGUUGGAUGUCAUAAAAACUACAGCAGCACAGAAUAGCCGAGAUUAAGAGUCAGUUUUAAAUCAUGCAACAGUCCAGUUAAUAUCAAUGUAUAAUUAAGAAAAGCAUAAGAAGUCUCUAAUGGUGAUUUGAUGGAAAAAAACUCUAAUAGGGUUUCUUUUGGAAUUUUCCAUUUCAAUCACUCUUGUCGAAAUUUAAUGGAUUUCCUACCCUGUCCUUGGCAUUCGUGGGAAUUAUCCAAAAGUUAAAAUCAAGCCCUAAAAUGGAACACAGGUAGACAAAUUAGCCCAUCUGGAGAGCAGUCUUUAUAGAAUGACAAUGUGAGCUCAUGCUGAAAAUUUAGUACAAAUGUCUCAAAUCUGGUGUGAAAACCCUAUUUGCCAUAUAAUCUUAAGCAGUGUAAUACUAAGCCAUUUCCUUACCUUUCUAAUCCUGCUGAAAUUCCGAACAAUUCAGAAAUACUAAACUAUGGGCUAUUAAACAUAACUAAUUAGUCUAUUUACAUGGUAAGGUUUUCUCCAGUCAUGCAUAUUAGUAGUACAUUGAGGUGGGUUCUUCCACUGCUGACAGAGAGAUUUAGAGUACACAGUUCCCCAUUAAUGUCAUGGAGUUUCAUGAAUCUCCCACUCGUCACAGGAUAACUAGAUCCCUUGGCUCACCCAUGUCCUAGAUCCCUUGAAUGAAACUAAAGGGGUGGCACCUGCCGUACCAUAGAAAUCAUCACGGAAGUGUGGCCAACUACCCCUAUAGAACAGAUGCUGCUUUCAUGGCUGUGCCUUGAAUGUCUAGGGUGCACUGAAGUUGUAAAAUUAACAACAGUGUGUAGCUAUCUUAGCAUGUAUGCAACCGCUUAGCAAAGAGGGAAGAAGGACUGGCAUUGGAUUAAAGCACAAUAUAUUUGUUGCCAUCACUUUGUUGUUGGCCCAAUGAAAGCUGAGGGAAUUAUCUCCAGAAUCCAGGAAGACUGCAAACUGAAAAUAACCUAGUACCUCAGAAGCAGGCAUAGCAGAGAGUGAUUUUAUACUUCAUUAGAACAUAUUAGACUACAAUACACCGACCAGAGUAAAACAAGGUCCAUUUUUCCAUCUGUCUAUAUAUUCCUUUCCAAUACUAAAUCUGUCUGGAGACCUUUCAAAAUUAUAUUAUUAAACACUGCCCCUUUCCUUAGCAAAAAAAAAAAAAAGCUGAAAAGAAUGGAGAUAAACCAGGAGUAACAUACAACAGUGAAAAUUCUACAGUCUGAUUCACCAUUACUACUUGAGUCAUCAUGGUCCAAAUUCACCCGUGGUGUAAUCCCAUUGAUAAAUCAGGGAUGAAUAUGGGCCUAUUAUUUUAAAGUGUGGUGGAGAGGCCAUUGUGAUAAACUGAGGUUCUUUUAAUUAAUACUCCUCUGGCAGAAAUAGAAGGGAGCUAUUGGCAGGGCAUCCUCAACAAUGAAUCACAUUUCCCCCCACUUUAGACAACCAGUGGGCCCAACCUAUGCUGAAAAUCUGAUCUUUUCUUCUAAGCUGCAUGUGAACAGGUAGGUGUGUUGGGUAAAGAUCCUUUUAAAUGGUUGCUCAAGACAGAACAUUGGUGAUUCUCAGCUCAGCUUUCAAUGUAUUCAUGCAAUUCUUUGAAACAAAGUCAGUUAACUGAGUCUUUUCUAGCAACUGUUCAUAACAGAGGUAAGCUAUACUGAUAAAACGUGAAAAAAGGGCUUCCAAACUUGUCCGACACACAUGGCAGAUAGACCCCAAAUGGGUGAGGAAACUUUCUCCACUCCUACAUAAAAGCCAUUCAUCUUUAGAGCUCACUAUAAUUGUUUUCCAGACCUCUCACAUGGAACUCAAAUGAGAAGAUUGAAAUAAACCAAUGUAUCAGUUACUUGAGUCUAACAUAUACGUAGAAAAGACAGCAUUUCCUUUACUAAAGUCCAUUGCAAUUGAAAUUGCUCGAAGAUGAGUAGGUGGACCAGGGGAUAGAUAAUGGGAUACAGAUCUUCUUAUUUCUAGGUCUCUAAUCAAGUGCAGCUAGACAGUGAUGCAAAAAGUAAUUAUCUAUCUGAUGAAAGAGAGAGGUAACGCUGUGGGAUAUAUGGGUAUAUGCCUUUGGAUGCGAAAUCUGAGAGUUGAAUGGAAAUAUCUGUCAGACCUGCAAGGCCUAGUUUGGGUAUAAGAGGGAAGAAAAAACAUUUUAACAUUAGGUAAAUUCAGUGCUAUGAAAGAUCCUAGGGACAAUGAGAGUGAAGUCCUCUAUCUUAUGAUAAACUGUUCAGAUCUGUCCUAUCUGACUGCCUCCUGCUGUCAUCCUCCCAUUAUCACUCCCCUUUGUUCCCUCCUCAUCUCUUCCCUUUAUCUAUAUUGUCCUGGCCUCUUCUACUCCCAUGCCUACAAUUCCUUUUAGCAUCAUAUACCCUCCCACACUCAAGUAUAUACAAUAUUUUUUGCAACACUCAUCUCUAUUUCCAUCUUUGUAUAUACGUAUAUGCAGUAGACUGCAAAAGGCAGUGAAGAAUCAGACCCAACAUAUAUCUAUGCAUUUGUCUCUUGACAUACAUACAUACAUAUAUACAUAUGUUGUGGAACCUAUAUAUAUAUUCAUCUUGAAGGUUCCACAACGUAUGUAUAUAUGUAAUGAACCUUCAAGAUGAAUGUAACAACGACUAAAUAUCUGUGCUCACCAUAUGCCCAGCUCAUCAUUUGUUUUUGCCUCUCAUUGCACCAUUUGUCUGUAUUUCAGACUCCUCAGGGCAAGGACCAUCUCUUAUAAUGUGUUGAUAUAGCACUUAGCACAAUGGGGUCCUGGUCCAUGAAAUGGGACUCCGAUCGUAACUGGGGGCUUUGAGUGCCCUCAUAAUAGAAAUAAAUAAUAUGACUGGUAAAGGGGAUCUCUCAGUUUUCUUUGGUGGGAGAGCCUUUAGACUGGUGUUUGUGUAAUUGGAAAGUUGAAUAAAAACAUCAAUACACUGUACUUUUUUAAAAAGCACAUGUUAAAAUUUUGGGAGGCACCUGCUAAAUUGAAAACCAAAAUAAAUAAAAACUGAAUACCUACAGAAUAAGAUCAGCAAUAUAAUCAUCCAGCUUCACACCACAAAUGCACCCCUAUAUUGUCCUGGAGUAACCAAUUUAAGGGAUGAAGGUAAAAUUCCAUUUCCAUAUCCAGGGAGAUCUUAUCCCCAUCAUCCAAAUUGUCACCCUGGCUGGUUCUCUUGGCGGAGAUGUUAGGUUCACCUACAUCACUUUACUUUCUAGAAAAAGGAUAGAAUAGCCCUACCAGUUCCAGCUUCCACCUGGGAAUACUCCUAUGCAACUUCUACUCCAUAGUCCCAGGCCGGCUGGAGUGAUUGCCACCACAUGAUCACUGUACAGCUGGCAGGAAGAGAUGAAACUGCUCAUUUCCAUCUGUGACAUUUCUCAGCCAGGAAGAAAGCUACAAGGCAUCAAACUGUAGGCUGAGAGGCAUCAGUGCGGCCACCUGUUAGAGAUACUGAUAAAGAAAAAACUUGGUAAAAUAUAGAGCUGUGAAGAACUGCUAGGAAUAAAACAAACUGAUAAAGAGGAAGUGAUGGUGCCUUCUUACCACCAACCACCAUUUACAGCUCCCAUCAGAGGUCAGAACCCAGGAGGACAGAAACAAAUACAAGCCUUUAUGUAAAACAGAUUACAAGAGACACAUUGGAGGUGUGGAUAGCACAGAUCAGCUGCUACAGGCAUAGGACACAAUAUCUUGUACUGUUAAAAAUGUUGGGGAAAAUGGAAGUCCAUAUGGCCCAAUUAGCGAUGCACAAUGCUUUUGCUAUAAACCAGAAAAUAGCACCUGAAAGGCUGUUGUCAUUUCUGGACUUGCAAACAUAUGUCAUUUGCAGCCUUAUAUUUGUAAGUGCAGGCCUCCCUGACUUUGAGGGGGAAAGUCACAGAACACUGAGUUUGCUACAAGGAAAUCACAUUUCCCUCCACAUAAUGUAGUAAAUAGCAAGAGUCUGCCAAACUUAUCAGAUUCAAAGAGAAGAGGCAAAAAUUCUUAGUUGAUAUAAGUCAUCAUAACUCUAUUGACUCGGGGCAGGGGUGAAAGAACAAUUUCCAGCAGCUGAGGAUUUGCCCCUGGAACUUAGACUAGCGUUCUGGGGAGUUUCAUGAAAUUGACUCAAACAUUUGCCAAUAUAGGUCAAAUUUGAAUAGGUGCCCAGUUUUUCUCCUAGCAACAUAUUUGCCAGAGGAAAUGAGACUCCAGGAGGUAAGUUCUUCUUUUAAUGUGCACAUGUAACUUACAGGAAUGGGAAAUGUAUCAAGUGGAGAAUCUAUUCCUUGGGUACUUAUUUCUUCCAGAUUAAAGCAGAAUUGUGGCUAAUAAAUUGUUGAGGUGUGAAGUGCAUUUGCACCUCUCACAAGAUGUAGCUGGUCCAAAUGCCAGGGUAUCACUUUUCCUUUUAAUGUUCAAUAAAUUUUUCACAGGCCUGGCGUUAGCUAUAGGUAUGAAAUGCAAAUUUGUUUCAGUUUUCUUGCUGCCUGAAUGGAAGUGAAGUAAGCAUAUAAAGGGCCUGAUUUUCAGCCCUGAUGUCAUUGCAUGUGUGUGUGUGUGUGUGUGUGUGUCCAUCUGCUCACCUAUGUUGUCCACACAGAAUCGCAUAUAUGUGUGCAAGUCUCCAAUGUGUUUAUACUUGAAGCUAGAUGACUGGGCAUCCAGCCACAUGUCUAUAAAAUUGUGGAAUUUGUGUUCAUGCACAGAUGUGCACCAAUGCCAUGCCAGGUCUCAGACCAGAGCACUCAGAAUUCUGACACUUGCAGAGGAAGCUGAUGGUUCAAGCAAUAUUCAGGUCAUUCUAUGGUGCUGAUGAUUCUCACAAAUCAUGAUACACUUGAGACACAGCAUGAUUAGUACUCAGGGCACAAGACUGGGACUUGGGAUACGUGGAUGCUAUUCCCAGCUCUGCCACUGCCCUGCUGUAUGCCCAGGGUAAGUCACUUCAUAUCUCUGUGCCUCUGAUUCUCCUCCUACCCUUUGCAUGUCUUAUCUAUUGAGGGUGAGAUUUUCAAAGGUACCUGAGCGAGUUAAGAGUCAGUGCAGCUUGUGCUCCUAAUUCAUUCAAGCACUUUUCCCCCACUCUUUGUGGGUUACAUCUAUUUAGAUGGCAAGUUCCUUAGUACAAGGACGUGUUUGACUUUGUACAAUGCCCAACACAAUGACCAUUCUGAGAUGGGACCUCUAGGUGCUAGUGUAAUACAAAUAAUACAUAUAUUGUUUUUUAAAAAAAAUAGUUUAUAUUCGGGUAGAAUUUUAUGACAUAUGAACAUCAACCAUAAUGACAGCUAAGGAAUUUAAUUCUUCCUGCCUAUAUGCAGUACUUUAUUAUUCCAUAACAUGGACUGUUUUGCCAGUAUUUAUUUUGGUGGUGUGUGUACACUACAAUUUUAAAAAGGGUUAAGAUGUCUCAUAUUAUAACAUAAUAAUGGAGUUACACAUUCAAAUUCCUUACAUUUUAAAAAACAUACAGUAGGAAGAGCUACCCUGAAAAGGUCACUGAUUGAUCUAAUUUGUUAACCUGACUCUAGAAGUUGCCAAUACUUGUGCCUCAUUACUGGUAACACCUAGAUUAAUGGAAGCAACAAAGAGUCCUGUGGCACCUUAUAGACUAACAGAUGUAUUGGAGCAUAAGCUUUCGUGGGUGAAUACCCACUUCAUCAGUUUAAGGUCUGAAGAGACUAUCAGCUCAUCUAAUGUGACAUGUAUAACACAGAUCAGAGAAUUGCAUCACGACUGGAGCAUAUCCUUCCAGCAAAACAUCCAAUUUUGAUUUGAAGACUUCAUAAGAUGGAGAAUCCACCACUUCCCUUGGUAGUUUUUUCCCUCACUGGUAAAAAUUUGUGCCUUAUUUCUAAUAUGCAUUUGUCUGGAUAUAAUUCUAGCCAUUGGUUCUUAUUAUGAUUGUCUCCACUAGAUUAAACACCCCUUAAUACCCAGUAUUUUCUCCCUGAGAAGGCAUGUAAAGCUUUCACACUACAUAAUAUAGGAGGACGAAUUAUGCAAUUCUACUGCAUCGAGGAACACAUUUAGUGCUAACCCAAUGCUGGAACAAUGUAUGCUCCAAAUGAUGGGAUUUGAUAUCCAUGUAAUUUUUCAAUCUAUACAGUGAUAUAGUACUGAUAUAAAUACGUAACCUUUCCUUGAACACCUCUAAACUACUAUUCUCUUCAAUAGUCUCCCACCAGAGUGAAUCCCAUAGGUUGUUCGCAUCUGAUAUGGCUUUUUAAACUAUUCUUGUCUAUCCCUUUUAUAUAUAUGCUCUUAUAAUUUCUCAGGUUUCCAGCUGUUCUGAACUUGUAGGAUAUUUUGAAGCGAUGUAUCAAAUCAGCGUUCACCAUUACCAUGCUACAUUGCUCUAUUAACUCUCUUCUUUGUUCAGGACUAAAUCAUUUUAGGCUUCUUAAUUUCUAUACACAUAGAAUAUCAACCCCCCAGCCAAAAAGCCACAAAGCUCUUUCCUAUAUUGUAUAUGUUGUUUUGGAUAAAAUGAUCAAAACCAAAAGAGUAUUUGAAGUGCACAUUCCGAUCAAAAUGUUUGGGCCAAGUCAGUGGAACUAUGCUGAUUUACUCCUUCUGAUGAUCAGGUCCCAAAAUGCCAUCAAUUUUUUUGGUAUUGUUCAAAUAUCCCAAAGCAACUUCCUUUCCACCCUUUUUAACUGAGACUUUCUGUUGCUUUUCUUGAGACCGAAGAGGAAUGUCCAUCCAGUAUGUUUACCGUUAACACUAAUAGUGACUUUAAUUAAAUUUAUUUGAAGAUAAAUAUUCUGAUAUAUCCUAAAGUUUUCAGCUUGAGAUGACGCAGUUUUGUUUGAAUGUAAUUCAGAUCUAGUAUCAUAUGUGGUGAGUUCAUUCCAGACAAAUGGUUAAAAAAAUCCAGUGUGUCAGAACUUCAGGCAUUGUACACUGGGGAAAGUUACUGGCAGAAUGCAUACUUUGGAGCAUUUUUCCAUUAUCACAUGGGAUUCUUAGCCCUGAGAUUGUUCUGCUUGAAACACGCAUCUCCUUGGAGAAUCUGAUAAAGAUACUGCGUAAUAGAGAGAUCAGAUUUCCAGUACUCUUAGGAAUGACUUUCACAAGGGUAGGAAGAAACAUAUUUCCCAUUUUGGGAAAUAGAAGAAGCCACUCUCAACAGAAAGAAAAGUUUAAGAUUGCAAAAGAAACAUCAGGGCUGGAAUGUUAUGGGAGUUAUAUACCUCUGUAGCAAUCAGUGUGGUUUGUACAGGAUAUCAGUGUAAGUGGCUAUUGAAUUAAGAGGCGUCCUUCCUCUGUAAUUUACACUACAAAUUCAGUGUAAAAAAUUCCGAUGUUUCAUCAGACUAAUUCCAUUACCUUACUGAGUGACAGAAAUUGCAUUUGUUUUCUUUAGGCUCUAAAAUACAGACAUAAUAAACCAACAGAAAGAAAAGGGCGGGGGGGAUGGGAGAGUGAUCCUGAUUUUUUUCAGGGAUGAGAGAACCCAGAAUAUUUGGGUUAGGAAAUAAGCUGAAUAUUUAAGAAAGCCAAACUUUUUGAAGUCUGUGUUCUGGUUAGACUUCUGUUUGCAGUUCUGCAUUGUAUAAUUAAAAGAAACAUACAGAGAACUCACAUGAAUUUUAGCUUCUGCCAAAAGAUGCAUUGUUCAUGGUUGUUCUACUAAUUUUUGCUUUAACCCAUAAAAUACUAAUAUUUUCCAGUCUGACAGACAAACUAAUGCUUAGGAAAGGUGUGUGUUUGUGGGUGUACAUACAUGCAUUAUGUCUGCCACAUCUAUCCCCAGUGAGACAAUAUGAGUAGUUGCUCAGAUCUGGUCAUUCUUUGAAGACAUGCGUUAAAAUCAUCACACUUAUAUAGUACUCAGGUUACUAAAGCAUUGAGAAAGAGUAGAUUUUUCUAUGCAAUUGUUAUUUAAUAUCUGUCUGAAGUAUUUGAAUCUCAUUGAAAAUGAAAUGUAUCCCAAAUAAACUGUUUUCAUUUGUAUCUAAACGUUCUUCAUA
Molecule: long non-coding RNA, 11095 nt
Organism: Gopherus evgoodei (Goodes thornscrub tortoise)
Lineage: Eukaryota; Metazoa; Chordata; Testudines; Testudinidae
Exons: 5
Source: RefSeq, a predicted model, not a curated record